UUAAAGCUUCUAUUUUCAUUCUGUAGUGUGAUUCCUAAUUUUAGUGAAAAGUUCUUUGGAGAACUAUAAAAUCAGACUGGAAGCAAAUUACAUGAGAAAGAAGAAAAGACAGCACCAGAAGUCAAAAGUUAAGACUGAAGUUGUGUUAUAAGAAGAGCAACAGUGGGAGUAUAGAGAGUAACUUCAAAGUAAAAAAAAUAAUUCUAAAGUCUUGGGAAAAUCAUGAACAAUUUCCUGAGUAUCCAACCCAUGCUUUCCUGACAUAUGUAAAGCUGCAAAUUUCUCCUAUCAUUACAUGACUGAGCUGGAUUCCUAUUUACCAUGGUCUGAAACGGUCGUUUGAGAAACUUACAUGGAUUAUUAUUGCAGUUCAGGUCAGCUGUCCUGGAUGUGCUUCCUCACGGCUUUGUGUGCACCUGCUCGCUGGCAGAGACUGGGAAACUGAAAAGGCC
Myiozetetes cayanensis is the source of this 452-nucleotide long non-coding RNA. RefSeq lists it as uncharacterized. NCBI's taxonomy places the organism in Eukaryota, Metazoa, Chordata, Aves, Passeriformes, Tyrannidae. The record is from RefSeq and is a predicted model, not a curated record. The transcript is spliced from 4 exons.